This 499-nucleotide ribosomal RNA is filed under the name uncultured bacterium. RNAcentral's name for it is "partial 16S ribosomal RNA". It matches the Rfam family "Bacterial small subunit ribosomal RNA", at positions 28 to 507 of the family's 1533-position model. The record is from RNAcentral.
GAUGAACGCUGGCGGCGUGCCUAAUACAUGCAAGUCGAGCGAACAGACGAGAGUUCUUGCACUCUCUGACGUUAGCGGCGGACGGGAGGGUAACACGUGGGUAACCUACCUAUGAGACUGGUAUAACUUCGGGAAAUCGUAGCUAAUACCGGAUAAUAUUUAGCUUCGCAUGACUCAAUAGUGAAAGACGGUUCUGCUGUCACUUAUAGAUUGACCCGCGGUGGAUUAGCUAGUUGGUGAGGUAACGGCUCACCAAGGCGACGAUACAUAGCCGACCUGAGGGGGUGAUCGGCCACACUGGGACUGAGACACGGCCCAGACUCCUACGGGAGGCAGCAGUAGGGAAUAUUCCGCAAUGGACGAAAGUCUGACGGAGCAAUGCCGCGUGAGUGAAGAAGGUUUUCGGAUCGUAAAACUCUGUUGUAAGGGAAGAACAAGUACGUUAGUAAAUGAACGUGCCUUGACGGUACCUUAAGAGAAAGCACCGGCUAACUACGUG